Molecule: ribosomal RNA, 253 nt
Filed under: uncultured bacterium
Lineage: Bacteria
Description: partial 16S ribosomal RNA
Rfam family: Bacterial small subunit ribosomal RNA
Source: RNAcentral
UACAGAGGUCUCAAGCGUUGUUCGGAUUCAUUGGGCGUAAAGGGAGCGUAGGCGGUCGGGUAAGUCGGAUGUGAAAUCCUGGGGCUCAACCUCAGAACUGCAUUCGAUACUGCUUGGCUAGAGGAUUGGAGAGGAGAGUGGAAUUCACGGUGUAGCAGUGAAAUGCGUAGAGAUCGUGAGGAAGACCAACGGCGAAGGCAGCUCUCUGGACAAUUCCUGACGCUGAGGCUCGAAGGCCAGGGGAGCAAACGGG